GUAGUCUCGCACAGAUGCAUUAUCAAUAAGCGGAGGAAAAGAAACUAACAAGGAUUCCCUCAGUAACGGCGAGUGAAGCGGGAAGAGCUCAAAUUUGAAAUCUUGAAAGGUCACCUUUCACGAAUUGUAGUUUAAAGAAGUGUUUUCUGUUACGAUCGUAAUAUAAGUUCUUUGGAAUAGGACAUCAUAGAGGGUGAGAAUCCCGUCUAUGAUUGCGAUUUGUAGCUUUGUGAUACACUUUCAAAGAGUCGGGUUGUUUGGGAAUGCAGCCCAAAACGGGAGGUAAAUUUCUUCUAAGGCUAAAUAUUGGCGAGAGACCGAUAGCGAACAAGUACCGUGAGGGAAAGAUGAAAAGAACUUUGAAAAGAGAGUUAAAUAGUACGUGAAAUUGUCAAAAGGGAAGCGUUUAACACCAGUGUUGUUUUCUGAAAAUCAACCUCUGUUAGCUUUAUGCAUGUUUGUUUAGACCUAAUCAGCUAUCUUGCAUGUUCUAUUGUUUGCAGUGGUGCACUUUUCAGUUUACAGGUCAACAUCAGUUUUUUUUACCGUAAAAAAGUUAAAGAAAGGUAGCUCAUGGCUCCGGUCGUGAGUGUUAUAGUCUUUUUCCUAUGCGGUAGGAGAGACUGAGGUCUGCAGUGUAGGCUAUUUGGCUAGAUACUCAGGUGCUAUGUGAUACCAUUUCAUAAACAACUUGUUGAUUAUGUUUUGUCUAUUGCAUACUCGCUUGUACUAUCAUACCUACGCUUAGGAUGUUGAGUCGUAGAGCACGCA
Molecule: ribosomal RNA, 771 nt
Filed under: uncultured Neocallimastigales
Lineage: Eukaryota; Fungi; Neocallimastigomycota; Neocallimastigomycetes; Neocallimastigales
Description: partial large subunit ribosomal RNA
Rfam family: Eukaryotic large subunit ribosomal RNA
Source: RNAcentral